This 305-nucleotide ribosomal RNA is filed under the name uncultured bacterium. RNAcentral describes it as "bacterial SSU rRNA". It matches the Rfam family "Bacterial small subunit ribosomal RNA", at positions 334 to 637 of the family's 1533-position model. The record is from RNAcentral.
UGUUCCUACGGGACGCAGCAGUGAGGAAUAUUGGUCAAUGGCCGCAGGGCUGAACCAGCCAAGUCGCGUGAGGGAUGACGGUCCUAUGGAUUGUAAACCUCUUUUGUCAGGGAGCAAAGGGCGCCACGUGUGGCGUUUUGCGAGUACCUGAAGAAAAAGCAUCGGCUAACUCCGUGCCAGCAGCCGCGGUAAUACGGAGGAUGCGAGCGUUAUCCGGAUUUAUUGGGUUUAAAGGGUGCGUAGGCGGAUCGUUAAGUCAGUGGUCAAAUUGAGGGGCUCAACCCCUUCCCGCCAUUGAAACUGGC